GACGAACGCCGGCGGCGUGCUUAACACAUGCAAGUCGAACGGAAAGGCCCUGCUUUUGUGGGGUGCUCGAGUGGCGAACGGGUGAGUAACACGUGAGUAACCUGCCCUUGACUUUGGGAUAACUUCAGGAAACUGGGGCUAAUACCGGAUAGGAGCUCCUGCUGCAUGGUGGGGGUUGGAAAGUUUCGGCGGUUGGGGAUGGACUCGCGGCUUAUCAGCUUGUUGGUAGGGUAGUGGCUUACCAAGGCUUUGACGGGUAGCCGGCCUGAGAGGGUGACCGGCCACAUUGGGACUGAGAUACGGCCCAGACUCCUACGGGAGGCAGCAGUGGGGAAUAUUGCACAAUGGGCGGAAGCCUGAUGCAGCAACGCCGCGUGCGGGAUGACGGCCUUCGGGUUGUAAACCGCUUUCGCCUGUGACGAAGCGUGAGUGACGGUAAUGGGUAAAGAAGCACCGGCUAACUACGUG
Molecule: ribosomal RNA, 468 nt
Filed under: uncultured bacterium
Lineage: Bacteria
Description: partial 16S ribosomal RNA
Rfam family: Bacterial small subunit ribosomal RNA
Source: RNAcentral